CUCCCUGGGACUUCGAGUCCCCUGAAGGGCCCUUGUAGACUACAAGGUUGAUAGGCUGGGUGUGGAAGUGUGGUAACACAUGAAGCUAACCAGUACUAAUUGCCCGUGAGGCUUGACCAU
RNAcentral lists this ribosomal RNA (120 nucleotides) under Gammaproteobacteria bacterium. Its description in RNAcentral is "partial 23S ribosomal RNA". It matches the Rfam family "Bacterial large subunit ribosomal RNA", at positions 2811 to 2925 of the family's 2925-position model. Lineage: Bacteria; Pseudomonadati; Pseudomonadota; Gammaproteobacteria. The record is from RNAcentral.